UACGGAGGGAGCUAGCGUUGUUCGGAAUUACUGGGCGUAAAGCGCGCGUAGGCGGCUUUGUAAGUUAGAGGUGAAAGCCCGGAGCUCAACUCCGGAACUGCCUUUGAUACUGGAAAGCUUGAGUUCGGGAGAGGUGAGUGGAACUGCGAGUGUAGAGGUGAGAUUCGUAGAUAUUCGCAAGAACACCAGUGGCGAAGGCGGCUCACUGGCCCGAUACUGACGCUGAGGUGCGAAAGCGUGGGAGCA
RNAcentral lists this ribosomal RNA (246 nucleotides) under uncultured bacterium. RNAcentral's name for it is "partial 16S ribosomal RNA". It matches the Rfam family "Bacterial small subunit ribosomal RNA", at positions 524 to 770 of the family's 1533-position model. The record is from RNAcentral.